RNAcentral lists this ribosomal RNA (459 nucleotides) under uncultured bacterium. RNAcentral describes it as "partial 16S ribosomal RNA". It matches the Rfam family "Bacterial small subunit ribosomal RNA", at positions 338 to 795 of the family's 1533-position model. The record is from RNAcentral.
CCUACGGGUGGCAGCAGUGAGGAAUAUUGGUCAAUGGACGAGAGCCUGAACCAGCCAAGCAGCGUGAAGGAUGACUGCUUUAGGGGUUGUAAACUUCGUUUAUAUGGUAAUAAAAUGUUCCACGUUCGGGAUUUUGUACGUACCCUAUGAAUACGGAUCGGCCAACUCCGAGCCAGCAGCCGCGGUAAUACGGAGGAUGCUAGCGUUAUCCGGAUUUAGUGGGUUAAAUGGGUGCGCAGGCGGAAGCUCAGGUCAGCGGUAAAAUUGAGGGGCUCAACCUCGUCGAGCCGUUGAAACUGGUUUUCUUGAGUGAGUGAGAAGUAUGCGGAAUGCGUGGUGUAGCGGUGAAAUGCAUAGAUAUCACGCAGAACUCCGAUUGCGAAGGCAGCAUACCGGCGCUCAACUGACGCUCAUGCACGAAAGUGUGGGUAUCGAACAGGAUUAGAUACCCCAGUAGUC